GCUGCCACGAUCCACUGAG
This 19-nucleotide small nuclear RNA is filed under the name Arabidopsis thaliana (thale cress). RNAcentral describes it as "snRNA_13817". Lineage: Eukaryota; Viridiplantae; Streptophyta; Magnoliopsida; Brassicales; Brassicaceae. The record is from RNAcentral.